RNAcentral lists this ribosomal RNA (649 nucleotides) under Clostridioides difficile. Its description in RNAcentral is "bacterial SSU rRNA". It matches the Rfam family "Bacterial small subunit ribosomal RNA", at positions 892 to 1533 of the family's 1533-position model. Lineage: Bacteria; Bacillati; Bacillota; Clostridia; Peptostreptococcales; Peptostreptococcaceae. The record is from RNAcentral.
GAGUGAAACUCAAAGGAAUUGACGGGGACCCGCACAAGUAGCGGAGCAUGUGGUUUAAUUCGAAGCAACGCGAAGAACCUUACCUAAGCUUGACAUCCCAAUGACAUCUCCUUAAUCGGAGAGUUCCCUUCGGGGACAUUGGUGACAGGUGGUGCAUGGUUGUCGUCAGCUCGUGUCGUGAGAUGUUGGGUUAAGUCCCGCAACGAGCGCAACCCUUGUCUUUAGUUGCCAUCAUUAAGUUGGGCACUCUAGAGAGACUGCCAGGGAUAACCUGGAGGAAGGUGGGGAUGACGUCAAAUCAUCAUGCCCCUUAUGCUUAGGGCUACACACGUGCUACAAUGGGUAGUACAGAGGGUUGCCAAGCCGUAAGGUGGAGCUAAUCCCUUAAAGCUACUCUCAGUUCGGAUUGUAGGCUGAAACUCGCCUACAUGAAGCUGGAGUUACUAGUAAUCGCAGAUCAGAAUGCUGCGGUGAAUGCGUUCCCGGGUCUUGUACACACCGCCCGUCACACCACGGGAGUUGGAGACGCCCGAAGCCGAUUAUCUAACCUUUUGGAAGAAGUCGUCGAAGGUGGAAUUAAUAACUGGGGUGAAGUCGUAACAAGGUAGCCGUAUCGGAAGGUGCGGCUGGAUCACCUCCUUUCUAAGGA